RNAcentral lists this ribosomal RNA (468 nucleotides) under uncultured bacterium. Its description in RNAcentral is "partial 16S ribosomal RNA". It matches the Rfam family "Bacterial small subunit ribosomal RNA", at positions 28 to 507 of the family's 1533-position model. The record is from RNAcentral.
GACGAACGCUGGCGGCGGGCUUAACACAUGCAAGUCGAACGGAAAGGCCCUGCUUGUGUGGGGUGCUCGAGUGGCGAAGGGGUGAGUAACACGUGAGUAACCUGCCCUUGACUUGGGGAUAACUUCAGGAAACUGCGACUAAUACCGAAGAGGAGCUCGUGAUGCAGGGGGGGGGUUGGAACGUUUCGGCGGUUGUGGAUGGACGCGCGGCUUAUCAGCUGGUGGGUGGGGUAGUGGCUUACCAAGGCAUUGAUAGGUAGCCGGCCUGAGAGCGUGACCGGCGACAUUGGGACUGAGGUACGGACCAGACUCCUACGGGAGGCAGCAGUGGGGAAUAUUGCACAAUGGGCGGGAGUCUGAUGCAGCAACGCCGCGUGCGGGAUGAAGGCCUUGGGGGUGUAAACCGCUUUCGCCUGUGACGAAGCGUGAGUGACGUUAAUAGGUAAAGAAGCACCGGCUAACUACGUG